UACGGGGGGGGCAAGCGUUGUUCGGAAUUACUGGGCGUAAAGGGUUCGUAGGUGGCUUGUUAAGUCAGACGUGAAAUCCCUCGGCUCAACCGGGGAACUGCGUCUGAGACUGAUGAGCUCGAGUGCAGGAGAGGAACGCGGAAUUCCAGGUGUAGCGGUGAAAUGCGUAGAUAUCUGGAGGAACACCGGUGGCGAAGGCGGCUUUCUGGACUGCAACUGACACUGAGGAACGAAAGCCAGGGGAGCAAACGGG
RNAcentral lists this ribosomal RNA (253 nucleotides) under uncultured bacterium. Its description in RNAcentral is "partial 16S ribosomal RNA". It matches the Rfam family "Bacterial small subunit ribosomal RNA", at positions 524 to 776 of the family's 1533-position model. The record is from RNAcentral.